UUGCGCUUGCCAGGCAAGUGCUUUGCCGCUGAGCUAAAUCCCCAGCCCCUAAAAUUGUCUUUUUGGAAACCAGUCCUGGCACCAAAAUAGUUGGCAGCAAUUGGAGUGUAGGGUCGGGCGCCAUGUGAGGAUGCAUCCACCAUGUCCCCCAGUGUGAGUGCGUGAUUAUAACGUACCUGAAAAAUGCAUAUAGUCUACAGUGUGUUUUAAGUUGAUUGUUAUUACAAGAGAGUUACAAAGUUUAAAAAUUAAAAGUUUGCCAGGCAUGGUGGUGCAUACCUGUAAUCCCAGCACUCAGGAGGCUGAGGCAGGAGGAUCUUUGCAAGUUUGAGACCAGCCUGGGCUACAAAAUGAGCUCAAGGCCAGCCUGAACUGUAUAGCAAGACCCUGUCUCAAAAAGAAACAUACAAAAAACCAAACCAAACCAAAAAAGAACAAACAAAAACCCACAAAAAAACCAAAAAACACAGCCAAGGAGAAUAUUUUGAGCCCGGUGUGGUGGCACACACCUGUAAUCCCAGCACUCGGGGGGCUGAGGCAGGAGGAUCUUUGCAAGUUUGAGACCAGCCUGGGCUACAAAAUGAGCUCAAGGCCAGCCUGGACUACAAAGGUAGUUCAAGGCCAGCCUGAACUGCAUAGUGAAACCCUGUCUCAAAAAGACAAAAAAAAAAAGUUCAUGAAUUUAAAAGUUACAGUGAGCUAAAGUUAUAAACUUAGCAUAGCCUAUGUGGAUAGUGUUUAUGACGUCUGCACUCAGGUGCAGCAGUGCUGCAGACCUGGGUGUUCACUGGCCAUGCACUCACUGAGUGACCCGGAGCAACUGCAGCCCUGCAGCUCCACUCACGGGAAGGGCCCAAUGCAGGGCGCAUUUUCAAUCUUAAUGCCGUAGUUUACUGUACAUUCUCUGUGUCUGGAUGUGUUCACACACGGAAAUACCAUGGUGCUGCAGUUGACCCCACUUGAAUCCUGUUUUCCCUGAGGGACAGAAGCAGUCAGAGACGCGGCCCUUCUCCUGGGACUGUCAGCCUUGUGUUUCCUGUGGCACGGUGGAAACCACACUGGCUGAGGAGAAAGAGCCCCGAGUCUGCUCCACAGUCGCCACGUGCUGACCUUUCCGCCCCUAAACAUCUCAUUUCCCCUCACUGUAAAACUGGGAAUGAUUUUCUCAUCCAUUGUCACCCGGAAGCUGUGACACUUCCUGGGCGUCGUGGCUUUCUGCAGCUUCACCUCUCUACUGUGAUUUUCUCAAAGUCAGAGGAGAGGAGAGGAGAGAAGGAAGCCACGCAUGUACCUUGGACCCACAGUGGGGCAGUGGGCAAGUUUGUAAUGGACCACAGUCCCCUGUGCCCCAGAGAGCAGGGUCUGCCAGGCCACUCUGUGGAAAUGGUCACUGUGGGCCACAGCUUCAAGGGAGGAGCUGCUGUGAAUCAUCUUCCUCGAGAAUCUCUCGCUAAGUCCUCACUGUCUUACACAUGUCCUUCCAUAGCUCUCCCGCCUGGUUUCUUAUUUCAGCUACUUUUCAUUAAUUCCACAUUGUGUCCGUUCUCUUCCAACAGGCUGAGACAGAAUGAGGCUCCUUGCUGGGAUCUGGAAUGAAGAACAGGCUCUGACCUGGCUCCACACCAUUACUCACACGGAGAUGGUUCCCCUCCCUGCCCUUUCCUCAUCUCUGUGACUUCUACCACCCAGCAGUGCCGCUAACCACAAGUGUUUCUGGACAGAAAGAACACUGUGCUGACCCCGGACAGGAGCCCCCGUCUCUGAGCUUCCCCUCCCGCGCCCUGUGUGCUAGUGCGGCUCUGAGCCUGGGCUGCAGGGCUGGAGAGGCGGCAUCGUGCAGUGAACGGAUGCACAGAAUCCACAACCAAAACAAAACCAGGAGGGGUGGGUCCCGGGUGAACAGUGCACAGGCUGUGUGACCUGCAGCUAUUCAUUAACCUUUGUGACUAUCCACUUCCUUAUCAUAAAGUAUGUGUAAUAAAAUGCAUACUGAAUGCAUCCUUGUUAGGAAGGUAUGAAAUUAUGUGUGAAAGACUCUGACUCACUCGUUUUCUACUAAAUUUCAGUUCACUAUCUCUUGUUCAGGCGUAGGAAUCAUUAGCUUAACAUAAUUGAUCUCCCCAAACCUUCCAAACUUUCUCCCUUAAAUUCUCCUUCUCUGAUUUCAUUGUAGUUUAACCUUAGUCACACUUGUUGUAUUCAUAUGUGAGAAACCCAAAAUGCAAAUGAAGAGCCAAAUAAAGGAAGUGGUACAUAGAUGACUGGGCCAGAGCAUUUCAG
Molecule: long non-coding RNA, 2280 nt
Organism: Chinchilla lanigera (long-tailed chinchilla)
Lineage: Eukaryota; Metazoa; Chordata; Mammalia; Rodentia; Chinchillidae
Source: Ensembl